UAAUUUAUUUGGAACACAUUUCUAUUUAAUUAUGACAGACCUAUACCUAACUAUUUAAUACCAUUUAUUUUUGUGUGAAGAAUAAGUUUUUAAGAUUUUAACUUUAGU
Molecule: non-coding RNA, 108 nt
Organism: Populus trichocarpa (black cottonwood)
Lineage: Eukaryota; Viridiplantae; Streptophyta; Magnoliopsida; Malpighiales; Salicaceae
Source: Rfam